This 779-nucleotide ribosomal RNA is filed under the name uncultured Lactobacillus sp. RNAcentral describes it as "bacterial SSU rRNA". It matches the Rfam family "Bacterial small subunit ribosomal RNA", at positions 28 to 776 of the family's 1533-position model. Lineage: Bacteria; Bacillati; Bacillota; Bacilli; Lactobacillales; Lactobacillaceae. The record is from RNAcentral.
GACGAACGCUGGCGGCGUGCCUAAUACAUGCAAGUCGAACGAAACUUUCUUACACCGAAUGUUUGCAUUCACCGUAAGAAGUUGAGUGGCGGACGGGUGAGUAACACGUGGGUAACCUGCCUAAAAGAAGGGGAUAACACUUGGAAACAGGUGCUAAUACCGUAUAUCUCUAAGGAUCGCAUGAUCCUUAGAUGAAAGAUGGUUCUGCUAUCGCUUUUAGAUGGACCCGCGGCGUAUUAACUAGUUGGUGGGGUAACGGCCUACCAAGGUGAUGAUACGUAGCCGAACUGAGAGGUUGAUCGGCCACAUUGGGACUGAGACACGGCCCAAACUCCUACGGGAGGCAGCAGUAGGGAAUCUUCCACAAUGGACGCAAGUCUGAUGGAGCAACGCCGCGUGAGUGAAGAAGGUCUUCGGAUCGUAAAACUCUGUUGUUAAAGAAGAACACGAGUGAGAGUAACUGUUUAUUCGAUGACGGUAUCUAACCAGCAAGUCACGGCUAACUACGUGCCAGCAGCCGCGGUAAUACGUAGGUGGCAAGCGUUGUCCGGAUUUAUUGGGCGUAAAGGGAACGCAGGCGGUCUUUUAAGUCUGAUGUGAAAGCCUUCGGCUUAACCGGAGUAGUGCAUUGGAAACUGGAAGACUUGAGUGCAGAAGAGGAGAGUGGAACUCCAUGUGUAGCGGUGAAAUGCGUAGAUAUAUGGAAGAACACCAGUGGCGAAAGCGGCUCUCUGGUCUGUAACUGACGCUGAGGUUCGAAAGCGUGGGUAGCAAACAGG